RNAcentral lists this ribosomal RNA (425 nucleotides) under uncultured bacterium. Its description in RNAcentral is "bacterial SSU rRNA". It matches the Rfam family "Bacterial small subunit ribosomal RNA", at positions 354 to 796 of the family's 1533-position model. The record is from RNAcentral.
GUGGGGAAUAUUGCACAAUGGGGGAAACCCUGAUGCAGCGACGCCGCGUGAGCGAAGAAGUAUUUCGGUAUGUAAAGCUCUAUCAGCAGGGAAGAAAAUGACGGUACCUGACUAAGAAGCACCGGCUAAAUACGUGCCAGCAGCCGCGGUAAUACGUAUGGUGCAAGCGUUAUCCGGAUUUACUGGGUGUAAAGGGAGCGUAGACGGUGAUGUAAGUCUGAAGUGAAAGCCCGGGGCUCAACCCCGGGACUGCUUUGGAAACUAUGUGACUAGAGUGUCGGAGAGGCAAGUGGAAUUCCCAGUGUAGCGGUGAAAUGCGUAGAUAUUGGGAGGAACACCAGUGGCGAAGGCGGCUUGCUGGACGAUAACUGACGUUGAGGCUCGAAAGCGUGGGGAGCAAACAGGAUUAGAUACCCUAGUAGUCC